RNAcentral lists this ribosomal RNA (428 nucleotides) under Gemmatimonadota bacterium. RNAcentral describes it as "Gemmatimonadetes bacterium partial 16S ribosomal RNA". It matches the Rfam family "Bacterial small subunit ribosomal RNA", at positions 355 to 775 of the family's 1533-position model. The record is from RNAcentral. Lineage: Bacteria; Pseudomonadati; Gemmatimonadota.
UAGGGAAUCUUCGGCAAUGGACGAAAGUCUGACCGAGCAACGCCGCGUGAGUGAAGAAGGUUUUCGGAUCGUAAAACUCUGUUGUUAGAGAAGAACAAGGACGUUAGUAACUGAACGUCCCCUGACGGUAUCUAACCAGAAAGCCACGGCUAACUACGUGCCAGCAGCCGCGGUAAUACGUAGGUGGCAAGCGUUGUCCGGACUUAUUGGGCGUAAAGCGAGCGCAGGCGGUUUCUUAAGUCUGAUGUGAAAGCCCCCGGCUCAACCGGGGAGGGUCAUUGGAAACUGGGAGACUUGGGUCGAGAAGGGGGGAGUGGAAUUCCAGGUUUAGCGAUGAAUUGCGUAGAUUUAUGAAGGAACACCGGUGGGGAAGGCGGCUCUCUGGUCUGAAACUGAAGCUGAGGCUGGAAAGCGUGGGGAGCAACAGG